AAAAAAAAUUCGAAUAUUAGAGCCCAAAUAAUGAAAAAAAAUUCGAGCCCAAACAUUUCAGCCCAAAAACUCAAAUUUCGGCCCAUCUUCGCCUCAAUCUCUGGUCGGCAGGACAAUUCCCAACAACAACUGAUUCUCUCUGUGCUUAGAUUCACUCUGGGUUUUCCUGGCUUGGACGAAUCCUAUUUACCUAAAUGGAUCGGGUAAGGGAUUGGCUCCCUCAUAUUGAACCACAUGCUUAGAUCCGUCUCUGUCACCACUUCGCAGCCGUUGAUGUUAACGCAAGGUGAAUUAUCUAUACUCGGAUAUUGGAAUUUGCCAGAUGGCCUAUCAAAAAGGUGAUGUACUUGAUUGGUUUAAAAGUAAUAUAGAACAAACUGGUCUGUCUGAUUCAACAGACACCCUCUAUUUCCCUCAAACUGCAGAUUCUGGAAGAUGCGUCAUCAAUGUUUCUGGAUCCAAACCCAACUGCCAAUGAGACAAGCAUGAGAUAUGCAUAUAGCGAAAAAGAUAAGAGCCUGGAUAAGAGCCGUUUCAAACAAAUUUAGAAGGAAGAACUAAGAACAUGCAUGUAACUUACCUACAUUCUGUUAAUUUGCUUUACAUUGUUCACUGAGCUAUAAAAGUAAGUUGAUAAUAGAGCAUGAUAUUUAGAUGC
Non-coding RNA from Durio zibethinus, 658 nucleotides. NCBI's taxonomy places the organism in Eukaryota, Viridiplantae, Streptophyta, Magnoliopsida, Malvales, Malvaceae. The record is from RefSeq and is a predicted model, not a curated record.